CUUUUUAUGAAGCUUUGUCGCUCUCUAGAUUGGAUGACAAGACAUUGACACCAUGAUGGUGCAUGCACUAAAUUAAUAAAUCAAAAUGAGCAGCAUGGCCCUAACCUAACCGCCUCCUUUUUAAACUUUCUUCUUCUCCCUUUUCUCGAUUCUCAUCAGCCAUAUCGAUUUUAUAUUGAAAGAUGGGUAGGAGGGAGCUCUUGAAUGCGCUACUAACUUUGCUGCUUCUUCUGUCCAUGGUGUUUCACAGGGGAGCGGCUAUGAUCAGACGCAUUGGCAAGUAUCAACAACCGGGAAGCACUAGCCUAAAAGCGUCGCGAAAGGGUUUGGAUCUGAAAGACGAAUACACGAAAGAAGCCGGUGACAAUAAUGGCAGCGGAGAUUAUGAUUUUUAUGGAGGGCACGGUGAUGUCCCGAGCCCCGGCGUUGGUCACUAGAUCGAUCAUGAAGUGAGUCUGCUAGCGCUGUGCGUUUUUUGUUUUUGAUGCGUUUCACUUUAUAUAUGUACCACCUUCUUGUUGAUACAUAAUGAUAUCACGUAUACUUUUCCCCAUGUAUACUAUAAUACAUAGCUCGCUAGGAUUUCUUCUUUAUAUGUUUUCAAAUUAUCUGGGAGUUUUUGGUAAUUGUGUUGUAUAUGUAAGAUAUAUACAUUAUUUUGUUAAUAAGAGAGUGAAUAAAAAUGUGUGGAUUUGAGUUUGAAAAAGCAUGUAGUUUUCUAACCAAUCGAUGGCUGAAUUGGGUCAGGGUGGCCUUGGAGUUUCUACCCAAUCUUUGGUAUUUGCCUAUACGUCAGAAUCAGCAGCAGAAAUUUUACGACCAAGGAAAAGAAAGUUGUUGUAUCCCACAUCGACAGGUGGAGAAAAGAAAGACUUGGAGAGCUGAUAUGAAAGAGAUUGCCAGACAUUGAUGAACUCAUACCUUUCUCGGCCUUUUGGCUAAGAUCAAGUGUAGUGUCUGUUCGUAUCUGUUUAAUAUCUGAUAUGUGGGCCAAUGGCCCACCUCCUUUAUUAAAUUAUUUUCUUUAGGGGGAGAGCCCACCACAGUAGCUUGAUGCUGGGGUUCUCGCACGCUGCCCAAGUGAUGCACUACUGCAUGGGCCUGGCGUACCCCAUUAAAUCUAGUCUGAAAAUUUGAUGGCUGAACCCCAAUGGGCUUUUGCAUUGUGGCUAAACCAACGCAACUAUUUCCUGUGCAGAACGAAAAAGUUGAACGCGCACAACACUCAAUCAAAACUGGAAUACACUAACAGGUUCUUAGUGUCCGU
RNAcentral lists this long non-coding RNA (1267 nucleotides) under Prunus dulcis (almond). RNAcentral's name for it is "sRNA ncRNA". The stretch from base 918 to 1115 matches the Rfam family "U2 spliceosomal RNA". The record is from RNAcentral. Lineage: Eukaryota; Viridiplantae; Streptophyta; Magnoliopsida; Rosales; Rosaceae.